Molecule: non-coding RNA, 644 nt
Organism: Paramuricea clavata
Lineage: Eukaryota; Metazoa; Cnidaria; Anthozoa; Malacalcyonacea; Plexauridae
Source: the annotation of a GenBank genome assembly
CCUCAAAAUUAAAGAAAUUAUUAUAAACAUAUCUCCCUCCCCCUCGCCAUUCAAUGUUGUUUACCCAAUCACAUACAAGUAAGAUGCUGAGAUCCAACAUUGGAUUGAGCGAGUGGAAAUUUGUCAAAAUAAUAGGUAGUUAGGGCGUCUGUCCCAACAGAUUUGAAAAUGAUUGUAGUAUGCAGGGUCUUAGUCAGAACCUGGAAUUUGGGCGUCCAAAUUUUGAGAUUUGGCUUACAUGGUGGUGAAUCUUUGGGCGAAACGUUGAUUCUGGCCAAAAUCUGACAAUUGCAGAUAAUUUACCAUAAAUUAGGACUUUUCUUGCAUGAGAAUCGAUUCGUACUGCAUAAUCCUUGUUACACGUACAUUAAACGAUUCUAAAUAAUUUAAAUAUAAUUUAUAUAACCACAUGACUUCGUAUGAUGUAGAGUUGAACUACCUUCAACCUCGUACCCGGGGGAGGGGGUCUGGGCCAGCGUAGGUAGUGACAAUAACGGCAGCGGCAAUAUGGUCAUCAACAAUGCAUUAAUCCUCAAAGACAAAGGCGAAUGUAAAUUACAUGGUCUGACUUAAGCGUCGUGUAAUGCCGUAGUUGUUGAAACUAGUACGUGAUUUGCAUCAUUUUCACGGUGCAUGACUACACC